Molecule: long non-coding RNA, 724 nt
Organism: Amphimedon queenslandica
Lineage: Eukaryota; Metazoa; Porifera; Demospongiae; Haplosclerida; Niphatidae
Exons: 2
Source: RefSeq, a predicted model, not a curated record
AUAAUAAUAAUGAUAAUUAACUGAAUCUAAUGCAAAAUAAAUCAACAUAAAUAAUAAUAAUACUGGAACUGAUCCCAAAAGUAGUUCUUGUUAAUAUUAUCAAGAGUAUAUAUAUAAUGGAAGAGGAGAGUGUCUUACUUGCCUAUACUGCAUUGAUGCAUGAGCGCGUAUCAGCUGAAUGUCACAAUCCGUUUUAUCUCUGUAUACUAUUUCUAUGAAUUUCAUGAAUAAAUUAUUAGUCAUCUGACUUGGGCGUGGUUAUACUACACACGUACGUGGUAGCAUAGAUAUUAGAGUAAAUGAAAGGGAUAGGCAACUUCCGUUGCGUGGGCGGAUUAUUUCAUUAAGAUUAUUAGGUUGCCUAGCAACAUAGGCAAGUUACCCUUCCCGGGCCUUUUCCUUCACUGUUCGGCGUCCUAUUUCAACUCAUAACUCUAAAGUGACUUGUGUUCGUCCUCUGCAAUGAUAAUUAAAGGCAUUACAGAUACCUCCCUUACAGUCUGUCUAAUUUUUGAAGUAAAAUAAUAUUGAUAACUAUGGAAUACAAAAGAAGUAAUACCAGAAUUAACUAUUACCAACUAUUCUAUACAUUAUUAUGGAGGGCACGCAACAUAAAUGACUCCGAUGACAGAUUUGGUGACUGAUUUAUAAUCAAUUCAAAGUUUUUGCAAAGACCUUCGUUUUGUACCUUUUUCUUUACAGUUCAAUGAUUGGCACAUUUAAA